GAUGAACGCUGGCGGCGUGCUUAACACAUGCAAGUCGAACGGAAAGGCCCAAGCUUGCUUGGGUACUCGAGUGGCGAACGGGUGAGUAACACGUGGGUGAUCUGCCCUGCACUUCGGGAUAAGCCUGGGAAACUGGGUCUAAUACCGGAUAGGAUCACACCUUGGGUGGUGUGGUGGAGAGUUUUUCGGGGUGGGAUGAGCUCGCGGCCUAUCGGCUUGUUGGUGGGGUAACGGCCUACCAAGGCGUCGACGGGUAGCCGGCCUGAGAGGGUGUACGGGCACCUUGGUACUGAGGUACGGCCCAGUCUCCUACGGGAGGCAGCGGUGGGGAGUCUUGCACAAUGGGCCCACGCCUGAUGCAGCGACCCCGCGUUGGUGAUGACGGCCUUCGGGUUGUAAACUGCUUUCGCUAAGAACGAAGCGCAAGUGACGGUACCUGGAGAAUAAGCACCGGUUAACUACGUG
Molecule: ribosomal RNA, 465 nt
Filed under: uncultured bacterium
Lineage: Bacteria
Description: partial 16S ribosomal RNA
Rfam family: Bacterial small subunit ribosomal RNA
Source: RNAcentral